GACAGAGGGUGCAAACGUUGUUCGGAAUUAUUGGGCGUAAAGCGCGUGUAGGCGGCUUUGCAAGUCGGGUGUGAAAGCCCUCAGCUUAACUGAGGAAGUGCGCCCGAAACUGCUUGGCUUGAGUACCGGAGAGGAUGGCGGAAUUCCCCAAGUAGAGGUGAAAUUCGUAGAUAUGGGGAGGAACACCGGUGGCGAAGGCGGCCAUCUGGACGGAUACUGACGCUGAGACGCGAAAGCGUGGGUAGCAAACAGG
RNAcentral lists this ribosomal RNA (253 nucleotides) under uncultured bacterium. RNAcentral describes it as "partial 16S ribosomal RNA". It matches the Rfam family "Bacterial small subunit ribosomal RNA", at positions 524 to 776 of the family's 1533-position model. The record is from RNAcentral.